UGAGGCCCUGAUCGAAGCCGGGUUAGUGGUUCAAGUAACUGACCUGGUCAAACAGAGGCCGACAUCAACUUUCCUCUGACGGUCGCUGCUCCGGCUGCUGUGCUGGGGAUCAGCAACAUUGAGGGGAAAUACAGCC
Molecule: non-coding RNA, 136 nt
Organism: Xenopus laevis (African clawed frog)
Lineage: Eukaryota; Metazoa; Chordata; Amphibia; Anura; Pipidae
Source: Rfam